GAUUAGAGUUUGAUCAUGGCUCAGAUUGAACGCUGGCGGCAUGCUUUACACAUGCAAGUCGAACGGUAACAGGGAGCUUGCUCCGCUGACGAGUGGCGAACGGGUGAGUAAUGCAUCGGAACGUACCCAGUCGUGGGGGAUAACGUAGCGAAAGUUACGCUAAUACCGCAUACGUCCUGAGGGAGAAGGCGGGGGACCGAAAGGCCUCGCGCGAUUGGAGCGGCCGAUGUCGGAUUAGCUAGUUGGUAGGGUAAAGGCCUACCAAGGCGACGAUCCGUAGCGGGUCUGAGAGGAUGAUCCGCCACACUGGGACUGAGACACGGCCCAGACUCCUACGGGAGGCAGCAGUGGGGAAUUUUGGACAAUGGGCGCAAGCCUGAUCCAGCCAUGCCGCGUGAGUGAAGAAGGCCUUCGGGUUGUAAAGCUCUUUCAGGUGGAAAGAAAACGCAUGGGUCAAUACCCUGUGUGGAUG
This 472-nucleotide ribosomal RNA is filed under the name uncultured bacterium. RNAcentral's name for it is "bacterial SSU rRNA". It matches the Rfam family "Bacterial small subunit ribosomal RNA", at positions 1 to 474 of the family's 1533-position model. The record is from RNAcentral.